UACGAAGGGGGCUAGCGUUGCUCGGAAUCACUGGGCGUAAAGGGUGCGUAGGCGGGUCUUUAAGUCAGGGGUGAAAUCCUGGAGCUCAACUCCAGAACUGCCUUUGAUACUGAGGAUCUUGAGUACGGGAGAGGUGAGUGGAACUGCGAGUGUAGAGGUGAAAUUCGUAGAUAUUCGCAAGAACACCAGUGGCGAAGGCGGCUCACUGGCCCGUAACUGACGCUGAGGCACGAAAGCGUGGGGAGCAAACGGG
Molecule: ribosomal RNA, 253 nt
Filed under: uncultured bacterium
Lineage: Bacteria
Description: partial 16S ribosomal RNA
Rfam family: Bacterial small subunit ribosomal RNA
Source: RNAcentral